Molecule: long non-coding RNA, 731 nt
Organism: Vidua chalybeata
Lineage: Eukaryota; Metazoa; Chordata; Aves; Passeriformes; Viduidae
Exons: 3
Source: RefSeq, a predicted model, not a curated record
UGCCCGCCCCCUAUAAAACGCCAUGUGCCCCUUUGUUUGCCGCCAUCUUGUCCACGUGGCACUAGGGAACGCUCUCUGCUCUCCACCACAGCACCACGCGGCAAUAAACCUUCUCCAGCCGACCGCAAGGACAGGGUGUGCCUCCUUCGCCUCUUUACCUCCUCCCAGUGUUGGUUACACAACGCGGUAGCCCACGCGGAGGCUCAGCGCUAGAGCCUCCGAACCAGCGGCAGCUCCAGACUCCCGGGUGAUACGCUGAGCCUAGCCGAGCUCCCCGAGCCGCCCGGGACUGGGAAAAAGAACGCAAUGCUGCAACCCUGUCCCAUUUUGGCUGAAGAUCACCAGUGUAUUACAGCAGGUUUGAUAGUUAUGCUGCUGGUAGGAUCCAAGGAUGGAAAGCUGAAAAUACAGCUGGACGCAUGAAAACACAACUACUGGGAUUACUGUAGAAUCUGGUGACUUGUCCAUUAUUUCUGGUCUCUAAACUAAAGCUCUUUCUGCAGAGAAAUAUGUGUUUUAUUCCUGCUAGCAAAGCAUGCUCAUCAGCUGCAGGAGUGGGAGCUGCAUUCUUCUCUGCAAAAUGCACCAUCAUCAAAAUCAUCCAAUAACUCCAAGAUGAAGAAUCUUUGCUACUGGAUGUGAUAAAUGAGAAAGAAAGAAACUGACUGAACUGACUGAGUUUUGGACUAUGCUAGUACUGAUUAUAGUUUUAAACAGCAGGGAAAAUCUGA